Molecule: ribosomal RNA, 318 nt
Filed under: Meriderma sp. MInoue-2025c
Lineage: Eukaryota; Evosea; Eumycetozoa; Stemonitida; Stemonitidae
Description: bacterial SSU rRNA
Rfam family: Eukaryotic small subunit ribosomal RNA
Source: RNAcentral
UCUGAAUCUGCGUACGGCUCCGCACACCAGUUGUAAACCAAAGCAAGCAAGCCCGGUCUCGACGCCUUUCGGGGCUAGAGUCCGGGCUACAAGGAUAACCCUGGUAAUUCUGAGGCUAAUACUUGACACGGAACCUGCUGACUGGGCCUCGGUCCGGGAGGUAGGGGAUGUGCGACCAUCGGGCCAAAGAAACCGGAAAGAGCGCACGUUCAGACCACUUAAAAAGGCCACGGGGUCCCUCGGGAUCUCGGGGCUGUGGCUCUUGCAGCGUGCUUCUGACCUAUCAACUAGACGGCAGCCUAAGGGACAUGCUUUGGU